AGAGUUUGAUCAUGGCUCAGGACGAACGCUGGCGGCGUGCUUAACACAUGCAAGUCAGGGGGAAAGGGUAGCAAUAUCCGAGUACACCGGCGCAUGGGUGAGUAACGCGUAGGCAAUUUGCCUCCGGGACGGGAAUAAUCCAGCGAAAGUUGGACUAAUACCCGAUGAUGCAGCGGCAUCGCAUGAUGACAGUUGUUAAAGGUCCGCAAGGAUGCCCGAAGAUGAGCCUGCGUCCCAUUAGGUAGUUGGCGGGGUAACGGCCCACCAAGCCUUCGAUGGGUAGCUGGUCUGAGAGGAUGAUCAGCCACACUGGAACUGAGACACGGUCCAGACUCCUACGGGAGGCAGCAGUGAGGAAUAUUGCGCAAUGGCCGAAAGGCUGACGCAGCGACGCCGCGUGAAGGAUGAAGUCCGUUAGGAUGUAAACUUCUUUUGUAGGGGAUGAAUGUCCCGACUUGUCGGGAUUGACCGUACCCUGCGAAUAAGGAUCGGCUAACUACGUGCCAGCAGCCGCGGUAAUACGUAGGAUCCGAGCGUUGUCCGGAUUUACUGGGUGUAAAGGGCGUGUAGGUGGGGUCUUAAGUCGGUGGUGAAAUCCAGCAGCUUAACUGUUGAAUUGCCAUCGAUACUGGGGCUCUUGAGUGCGGCAGAGGGAGAUGGAAUUCAUGGUGUAGCGGUGAAAUGUGUAGAUAUCAUGAAGAACACCAGUAGCGAAGGC
RNAcentral lists this ribosomal RNA (718 nucleotides) under uncultured bacterium. RNAcentral describes it as "bacterial SSU rRNA". It matches the Rfam family "Bacterial small subunit ribosomal RNA", at positions 8 to 722 of the family's 1533-position model. The record is from RNAcentral.